AGGGAAUCUUCCGCAAUGGGCGAAAGUCUGACGGAGCAACGCCGCGUGAGUGAUGAAGGUUUUCGGAUCGUAAAGCUCUGUUGCCAGGGAAGAACGUCUUCUGGAGUAACUGCCAGGAGAGUGACGGUACCUGAGAAGAAAGCCCCGGCUAACUACGUGCCAGCAGCCGCGGUAAUACGUAGGGGGCAAGCGUUGUCCGGAAUUAUUGGGCGUAAAGCGCGCGCAGGCGGCUGUUUAAGUCUGGUGUAUAAUCCUGGGGCUCAACUCCGGGUCGCACUGGAAACUGGACGGCUUGAGUGCAGAAGAGGAGAGUGGAAUUCCACGUGUAGCGGUGAAAUGCGUAGAGAUGUGGAGGAACACCAGUGGCGAAGGCGACUCUCUGGGCUGUAACUGACGCUGAGGCGCGAAAGCGUGGGGAGCAAAC
This 424-nucleotide ribosomal RNA is filed under the name uncultured bacterium. RNAcentral describes it as "bacterial SSU rRNA". It matches the Rfam family "Bacterial small subunit ribosomal RNA", at positions 356 to 773 of the family's 1533-position model. The record is from RNAcentral.